GUAACAAGGUUUCCGUAGGUGAACCUGCGGAAGGAUCAUUAGUGAAUUAUAGGGCGUCUACUUGUAGAGCCUGACCUCCACUUCUAACACUGUGCACUUGAUGGCGAGGUAAUGGAACUUUCGAGUGAAACUACCUUGCGGCUUCAUUUUAAACAUUAGUCAAAGUAUGUAAUGAAAUAAAAAACAAAAAAAAACUUUCAACAACGGAUCUCUUGGCUCUCGCAUCGAUGAAGAACGCAGCGAAAUGUGAUAAGUAAUGUGAAUUGCAGAAUUCAGUGAAUCAUCGAAUCUUUGAACGCACCUUGCGCUCCCUGGUAUUCCGGGGAGCAUGCCUGUUUGAGUGUCAUGAACUCUUCAACCCACCAGUUUCUAGUAGACUGCGUUGGUGUUUGGAUUUUGAGCGUUGCUAGUCUGACUAGCUCGUUCGUAAUAUAUUAGCAUCUCUAAUUCGAAUUCGGAUUGACUCAGUGUAAUAGACUAUUCGCUGAGGACACUUUUAUUAGUGGCCGUACUAGAACCAGUAGAAGCUUCCAACUAUUGUAGUCAACUUUAAUUUAGACCUCAGAUCAGGCAGGAUUACCCGCUGAACUUAAGCAU
RNAcentral lists this unclassified non-coding RNA (597 nucleotides) under Phenoliferia glacialis. Its description in RNAcentral is "sequence contains 18S rRNA gene, ITS1, 5.8S rRNA gene, ITS2, 28S rRNA gene". The stretch from base 193 to 346 matches the Rfam family "5.8S ribosomal RNA". Lineage: Eukaryota; Fungi; Basidiomycota; Microbotryomycetes; Kriegeriales; Kriegeriaceae. The record is from RNAcentral.